CCUACGGGAGGCUGCAGUGAGGAAUAUUGGUCAAUGGGCGAGAGCCUGAACCAGCCAAGUCGCGUGAGGGACGACGGUCCUAUGGAUUGUAAACCUCUUUUGUCAGGGAACAAAGGCGCCCACGGGUGGGCGGAUGAGUGUACCUGAAUAAAAAGCAUCGGCUAACUCCGUGCCAGCAGCCGCGGUAAUCUGGAGGAUGCAAUCGUUAUCCGGAUUUAUUGGGUUUAAAGGGUGCGUCGGCGGACAGUUAAGGCAGCGGUAAAAAUGCGGUGCUCAACGCCGUACAGCCGUUGAAACUGGCAGUCUUGAGGGGGCGAGAAGUAUGCGGAAUGCGGGGUGUAGCGGUGAAAUGCAGAGAUAUCACGCAGAACUCCGAUUGCGAAGGCAGCAUACCGGCGCCCUACUGACGCUGAGGCACGAAAGCGUGGGUAUCGAACAGGAUUAGAUACCCUAGUAGUC
This 459-nucleotide ribosomal RNA is filed under the name uncultured bacterium. RNAcentral describes it as "partial 16S ribosomal RNA". It matches the Rfam family "Bacterial small subunit ribosomal RNA", at positions 338 to 795 of the family's 1533-position model. The record is from RNAcentral.